This 82-nucleotide transfer RNA is filed under the name Reclinomonas americana. RNAcentral describes it as "tRNA-Leu". It matches the Rfam family "tRNA". Rfam says of the family: Transfer RNA (tRNA) molecules are approximately 80 nucleotides in length. Their secondary structure includes four short double-helical elements and three loops (D, anti-codon, and T loops). The record is from RNAcentral. Lineage: Eukaryota; Jakobea; Jakobida; Histionidae.
GCCCUCUUGGUGAAAUUGGUAGACACGACAGACUUAAAAUCUGUUUCUUUUUGGAGUAUCGGUUCAAGUCCGAUAGAGGGCA